This 1222-nucleotide long non-coding RNA is filed under the name Cricetulus griseus (Chinese hamster). RNAcentral describes it as "lncRNA (ENSCGRG00015038002.1)". The record is from RNAcentral. Lineage: Eukaryota; Metazoa; Chordata; Mammalia; Rodentia; Cricetidae.
GCUUUUCAGCAUGAAUAUUUGUAACAUGCUGGUGCAGCCUGGGAACUGGGGAUCCAAGAACAAAGUCCUCAGGCACCUCAUGUGGUAAAUGAGGGAGACAUUCAAGCCAGCAAUAACAGCAGAAGCCAGGCACGCACAGAGCUCUAUGAAAAUGCCAGGGAAGGACAGUGAAGUCAGACCAGGAAAGCAACAGGGCAUGCUUUCAGAAAAUAAGGCUUGAAUUAUUUUUUGACACAAAUAGGUGUCAGCCAACUUCCAAGUGGAGAGAGGAGAGCGAUCCCAGCAUCCAAGAGGAUCCUAAAGGAUUGGAUGACGCUGGAUAUUGCAGGAGAGUCAGGUAGUCUGACGGUGGGAAGGCAAUACAGCACAGUUCUGGUCCUGGAAGGCCUCUGCCAGGUAAAGAAUUCUGGACUUGGGACAGUAAAAAGGCAAGGGACUGAAUAGUGGAAAGAGGCACAGGGAGUGCAAACCUGGGCACAAGGUAGGUUGGAGACUGUCACCAUGAUCUAGGCAAGGCUGAAUCAGUAGGAGUCAGCCCCCUUGAGGGGAAGGCAAGGGACACUGGUGACUACUUCCAGACAGAAUACACAGAGGGUUUUGAGACUGGAAUGGCUCCAGUGUUUUUGGCUUGGGCAACAGGUGGUGCCAUUUCCCCAGAGGUGGCACCUUCAGGGUCAAACAGGUCCCAGCUGAGGUCCCCAAAGAACAAACAAAAGGGAAAGCAUCUCAGCCCCCACGUGAAGAAGCAGAACUGCCGCACACAGCAUUCCACAGUUUAUACAAAACUUGUGUUGAAACAGAGGCAGCAAGGACACAGGUGCUGCGGGGGCGGAGUGCCGGGGACUGCCAUCUGGAGAGGAGCAAGCUGCUUAGAGAGGGCUUUGAAAACCUCACCAUGGAGGCGAGGCUGGACACAGAAAACCCAAAACAACCAAACAAGCAAGGAUGCCACACAUUGAAACUAGCAACAGCAGGAAUUUAGAAGAAAAGGCACAGUGUGAUGCUUGAGUCAAUAUCCCGGGAAGACAGUAGAAAGCUCUGAGACUUGGAAUCAGAAGAGUGACUAUCUCCAUAUUUGCCGAUUAAAACUAUAUGAUCUAGGUAAGUCAUUUAAAGCUUAGUAUCAAGGUGAGGGAGAUGGCUGCCUGGGGAAGAGCACUUGCCACCAAGCUUGAUAACCUGAGUUCAAUCCCCGGUGCCUACAUGAUAAGAGAAAAUCAAC